AAUGUCGUAACAAGGUCUCCGUUGGUGAACCAGCGGAGGGCAUCAUUGCUGGAACGCGCCCCAAGGCGCACCCAGAAAUCCCUUUUCGUGAACUUAUACCUUACUGUUGCCUCGGCGCUAGCUGGUCCUUCCGGGGCCCCUUCACCCUCGGUGUUUGAGACAGCCCGCCGGCGGCCAACCUAACUCUUGUUUUUAACACUGAAGCUCUGGAAUUGAACUAAAAUUGAACUCAAAAG
This 236-nucleotide unclassified non-coding RNA is filed under the name plant metagenome. Its description in RNAcentral is "partial contains small subunit ribosomal RNA and internal transcribed spacer 1". The record is from RNAcentral.